UACAGAGGGUGCAAGCGUUAAUCGGACUUACUGGGCGUAAAGGGCGCGUAGGUGGUUAUUUAAGUGAGAUGUGAAAGCCCCGGGCUUAACCUGGGAAUGGCAUUUCAUACUGAAUAGCUAGAGUAUAGAAGAGGAAAGUGGAAUUUCCGGUGUAGCGGUGAAAUGCGUAGAUAUCGGAAAGAACAUCAGUGGCGAAGGCGGCUUUCUGGUCUAAUACUGACACUGAGGCGCGAAAGCGUGGGUAGCAAACAGG
Molecule: ribosomal RNA, 253 nt
Filed under: uncultured bacterium
Lineage: Bacteria
Description: partial 16S ribosomal RNA
Rfam family: Bacterial small subunit ribosomal RNA
Source: RNAcentral